Molecule: unclassified non-coding RNA, 254 nt
Filed under: Ambisporaceae sp.
Lineage: Eukaryota; Fungi; Glomeromycota; Glomeromycetes; Archaeosporales; Ambisporaceae
Description: partial contains 5.8S ribosomal RNA and internal transcribed spacer 2
Rfam family: 5.8S ribosomal RNA (bases 1-71)
Source: RNAcentral
GUGAAUCAUCGAAUUUUUGAACGCAUAUCGCACUAUCUGGUAUUCCGGAGGGUAUGCCUAUUUGAGGGUCAUUUGAAAUAAUAUAAAUGCCAAGAUCUCUCGGAAUUUAAAAUGGGUUGCCCAUUUUUUGUGCGCGCCUAAAAUCAAAGGAAAUCUAAUUUUUGUGGGUUGCGUGAUACUUUCAGUUACUUCGUGACUUAACCAGGAAUCAUCGGGCGUGUUAUGAAUUUUGCAGGAGAUAAAAAAUUGCAUAG